CUCCUGUAGCUAGAAACCUAGCUGGGUCUGGUCUUUCUCUGCUCCAACGUGGGAUUUACCAGCAUCUACAGUGUGUAAACACUUCAAGUCUAGAAGCCAGAGACAACCAGGAUGCCUUUCUUCAGGAAACUGAGCAGCAACCCAAACUGUCCUUUUGAUGUUGAUCAAAAUCCUCAUGUUGAUGUGGAUCUUUUGAGUGGUGUAUUAGCCAAGAGCUAUGAGGCCCCGCAUCUCCUUCUAUAUCUGAGCCGGCAUGCCAGGAUGCAGACCUCUCUCCCAUCACAGAGAAGGACUGCAGACAGGAACAGCCUUUUCACCCAAAAACAGAUGUGAAGCCACCAGCCUUCCCUUCUCAUUGGUCCACAGAUUUGGUGCUGGCUGGUAACUAGGAGCACUUAACGGGCUGUUGUUUAGGCUACAGAUAUGAAAAUGUAAUAUUAUGAAAAGAUAAAUUAAUAAAUAAUAGACAGGCUUUGUAAUCUCUGUUCCCUACUCUGGAGUACGUUGGAACUUAAGAGACAACA
Non-coding RNA from Peromyscus maniculatus bairdii (prairie deer mouse), 524 nucleotides. The record is from RefSeq and is a predicted model, not a curated record. Lineage: Eukaryota; Metazoa; Chordata; Mammalia; Rodentia; Cricetidae.